Molecule: ribosomal RNA, 441 nt
Filed under: uncultured bacterium
Lineage: Bacteria
Description: partial 16S ribosomal RNA
Rfam family: Bacterial small subunit ribosomal RNA
Source: RNAcentral
CCUACGGGAAGCAGCAGUGGGGGAUAUUGCACAAUGGGGGAAACCCUGAUGCAGCGACGCCGCGUGGGUGAAGAAGUAUUUCGGUAUGUAAAGCCCUAUCAGCAGGGAAGAAAGAAGACGGUACCUGACUAAGAAGCCCCGGCUAACUACGUGCCAGCAGCCGCGGUAAUACGUAGGGGGCGAGCGUUAUCCGGAUUCACUGGGUGUAAAGGGAGCGUAGACGGCCGUGCAAGCCAGGAGUGAAAGCCCGGGGCCCAACCCCGGGACUGCUCUUGGAACUGUGCGGCUGGAGUGCGGGAGGGGCAGGCGGAAUUCCUGGUGUAGCGGUGAAAUGCGUAGAUAUCAGGAGGAACACCGGCGGCGAAGGCGGCCUGCUGGACCGCGACUGACGUUGAGGCUCGAAAGCGUGGGGAGCGAACAGGAUUAGAUACCCCAGUAGUC